Daphnia magna is the source of this 1300-nucleotide long non-coding RNA. RefSeq lists it as uncharacterized. The record is from RefSeq and is a predicted model, not a curated record. The transcript is spliced from 3 exons. NCBI's taxonomy places the organism in Eukaryota, Metazoa, Arthropoda, Branchiopoda, Diplostraca, Daphniidae.
UACAGUAGGGAAACGAAAGGGAAAGUGAAAAACUUAGCGUAUGUUGGAGUGUGUAAGAAUGGAAUGCGCUAGCGGUGGCGCUGUUUUGUGUGUAGUGUAUAUGGAAAAAGUCUUUGCAGUGAUAGUAAAGCUAUAGAAAAGCAUAGAAGGGAAGUGAUACAUAGUGGGACUUAGAAAAAUUUCAACUGUUUCGUUCGUGUACCGAUCUCUAAGAGGAGUGGGAGUUGUUGAACUGAAUUGGAAUACAUUACUAUCAAGAAAUGUCUGCUACUUCUAUGGAAAGUUUUGCAAUUUAUGGGCCUACUCAGAGAGGGAACAACUUAAAUGCAAAUAUUUCAAAGAACACAGAGGCAAAAAGAAACAACAGAUUAUUUUUAUACUGGUUGGACACGACAUUGCUUUAUGGUAUCCCACGUAUGGAAAGUAUGUAAGAAGUUCAAUCGUCUAAAGAGAUACCAAAAACAACCAAUGUAUUUCUACUUAAUAACUACAAAGGGUACAACAAAAAGAAAAAUCACGACGGCGACGUCAUUGUGGAGGCCGACGGGUGGUGGCUCGCGGCGACCCGUCUCCUUGUAGAGCUGCUCGGCGCAAUCGUCGGAUAAUCAGGUCGAAUCUUCUAUGUCGCCAUGUCGAGAACUCCCGAGAAUUGGUGCUGGGAGCCGGUGAGUCGCGGUCGCUGUCUGAAUGAUGUUGAAGUUCGCUCGUCGGUGUGGCGGAAGCUUGUGCUGGCAUCCCAGCACUUGCCCCGGGGAUGGUAAUCAGCAAGAUGUCUCCUCCUCUUCCGUCCGGAACAAGAGUAACCAAACGGUUGGCGUUUGUGUGGCUGGUCAUCUUCUUGAGAUUUUAUUUUUCCGUUCACCUUCGGGUGUAAAGACGAGCGUGCGGUCUGUCUGAACGCUGGUUGUCGAGUUGCCGAGCAACGUGUUGGGUUGUCAAUAGCAGCUUCGGUAAGCGGCUGAAUUUCAUUUAUAUCAUUUCUCUGCGUAAGCGAAAUGCUUUUGCAGGGUUGGUGGGAGUCGGUGAGUGUGUUAAAGAGCGUCGUGUUUCGUCGGCGAAAACUUUGCCUUCCCCCCAAGUGUCGUAUUCUUUCGACGCAUCGGAUGGAGAAAGAAGAUGGAAGAAAGAUAUGUGAAAGAAGAAUAUAGAAGAAAUGGGGCGUAUGGGAGCUACCACGGAGAAGAAUAAGACCAAUUUGUAAACCUAAACUGUAUAUAGUUAUGCUUUAAAAUCGAACAAAUUCUACAUGUACCGAAAAACUUGUAUGCUGUAAUACAGAUUGCUUUUGUUCUCCCUUUUA